This is a long non-coding RNA of Mya arenaria, 2600 nucleotides long. RefSeq lists it as uncharacterized. Lineage: Eukaryota; Metazoa; Mollusca; Bivalvia; Myida; Myidae. The transcript has 3 exons. The record is from RefSeq and is a predicted model, not a curated record.
CUCAUGACCUCAUUUUUUCGUAAGAUAAACAUUGAGGUCAAAAGGCAUACGCGUGUUUAUUGACUUUUAACACGAGAAUUUGGCAGAAUUUAUGGAAUAAAACAAAGGUGAAAUGGUGAUCAUUCAAUGUACAAUGGAAGGAGUGGUGGGUCCACUGUCCAAAAGUCAUCCCAUGGUGGACACAAUAUCCUGCAGCUUAUUGAAGACCCAGCCAAGUCCGUGACCCAGCCAAUACGAUGGAGUUCUUUAAGAAAUUGUUGAAGCCAAUACCAGGACUGACCAAGUACCACCAUUUUUGGAUCACGAGUAGACAUCCAGGGAUAGAGUUUGUGCGGGAAUAUUUGACAAUCCAGAUGUUGCCCUGUCUGCAGUGGUUAAAUGCCAGAGAGAAUUAAAAUCAAGGAACUUCAUGCAAAAAGGUCUUUGCACCUGUCCUGUUAGAGGAGAUCACUCCUCUGUGCAAUAACAGUCCAUCAUGUUCCAAGCCAACAGUUUCCAAACCAUCUAGUGGUGUUAGAAAUAGUGUACUGACAUAGUUACACAUCUUUUGCACUGAUAAACCAAUUCAGUCAUUAAUAUGGCCCAUGUUGCUGUUUUGAUGUAAUGAAAUGUAGAAAAAGAAAAAAAAUAAGCAAAAUGUAUCACGGUUAUUUCAAGUAAAGGUUCAAUAAUGGCAAAACGUGUCAACUUUAAAGAAAAUAAUUUGAUUGCUUUUAGGCUUGUUAUUGGUGACUUUAAGAUCAUUUAGAACAAUGUUUUUAUUGUUGUGACAGUUUUUGUUUUAAAGAAGUAGGCCAAAUGGUAAGAGAUUUGUUCCAGAGGAUUAAUGCAGCAGGCUGUUCUUGUUUUGUUUUGUUUUAAACCAGUUCUUUUAACCAAAAAUAACUUUGCCCAUUCAACUAUCCCUGAUUAUGUAUGAUUUCAUGUUAUGCUAUUUCUUUUUGCAUUUCUUGUUGUUGUGAAGUUGCCAUAUAAGAAUUAGUCAUAAUAAGGCAUUAAGUUUACAUGAGCACAUGUUGUAAACAAGUCUUUGUUUUUAUUUGUUUGUUGUUCAAAGGAUGUAUGAAAUAUUAAAUAACCAAUAUUUUCAUAUUGCUUUAAGUUGACAAUAUGUACUAAAUUUUACAUAAUGUUAGAAGUAAAAUAUUAAUAAGAACUAAGAAAUAAAAUUAAUAAUAAGAUGUGUACAGAUGUUUAAAAAAUCAAACCUUAUCAUUUUGUAGGGCUUCUAAAACAAUUUAAUUUCUCUUGCCACUCUUUUAUCAGUCUGUUAAUGCUAUUGGGUAAAAAAAUAUAUACUCACCGUUGGAAACUUAAAAGAGAUGAUGAAGUAUAAACUAAGCUACUGGUUUACAUUUAUUUUAAUAGUAUUGAUUUUAUCACGUUUGGCAAAGUCAUAUUAUUAUUCAAAUAUAUGUCAGAAUAAUAGCCAACCUUUUUGAGGGUUAUGAAAAUGGGGGUGCAAAUCACACAUUGUCAGAUGAGUUAGUUAUAGCUUAUUGAUGAUGCGUUGGUAUCAUUUUUGUCCACACAAUCACCGUAAGUUCAUAGAUAUUAUGAUAGUUGUCAACUUAUUAUUUUAAGUUAAAUAAACUUCAAUCUAAUUGGAGUGAAAGUUUGCCUUUUACCAAAAUAAUACCCUGUUCCAAACUUGAAGAUGCAAUUUUAAAUGAUCAGUUUAAUUUUAGUACAUGUUUCACAUGUUUGAAGUCUCAUUCAUUCCUGUAUUUACUAGUAUAUUAUUGCUGUCUUUGAAAUACAAUUGUUAUUUUAGGGACAUGAAUUUAUUUGCAUUUUGCCCUUUAAAUUAAAAGAAUUUUAUGACUAAAAACUGAAUUUUCAUUGAAAAAAAACAACAUUGUUUUAUACAAAUUAUAAUGAACACCAUUGCCAUGGCAAUCAUUUUAUAUGUUGUCACAAGAGGGUAACACUUGUAACUUAUCAUUUUUAGUUUAAUAUACUUACAUAUUGUUGGAGUGAAAGAUUACCUUUCACCAAAAUGAUGCCUUGUUUCAAACUUAAAUAUAAAAGGUAAAAUGAUCUAUUUUAUCCUUAGUUUGUGUUUACAAUGUUCGAAGUCUCCCUCAUUAUUUUAUUAACUAGUAUAAUAAUGAGAUGCUUGAUACACUGUUGUUACCUAAGGAAGAUGAACUUAUAAUAAAUAAUUAAUGACAAAAAAUGAUUUUUUGAAGAAAUAAAACACAUUGUAUUUUUUUUAGGAAAACCAUUGCCAUAGCAACCAUAUUUAUAUUGUCACCAGAGGGUAGCAAUUGUAAUGCUUUUUAUAUUAAGGUUAAAAUAGUGUGUCUUUAAAUGUAGCACUAAUUGAUCUACAUGUAAAAUUGUUUAUAUAUUUACUGUAUAAAUAUGUUGAUAAUCAUUAAGAAGUAAACAUUAUCAAGAAACACACUUUUUGUUGUUAUACCUGUUAUACGGAAACUUCAAUUUCUCAGUUAAAAUUUGAAAAAAAAAUGAUUUGUAUAGGUAAAAUAAUAAGCUUUGUGAAUAUGAUAUCCACUUAAUUCCGCCCAGAUUCCUCAAUUUGGGCCCUAAAUCACUUGUUGAAUCACAAAUAUACAUAUGUAUUGUAUACAUUUAAA